UCCGUAGGUGAACCUGCGGAAGGAUCAUUACCGAGUGCGGGCUGCCUCCGGGCGCCCAACCUCCCACCCGUGACUACCUAACACUGUUGCUUCGGCGGGGAGCCCUCUCGGGGGCGAGCCGCCGGGGACUACUGAACUUCAUGCCUGAGAGUGAUGCAGUCUGAGUCUGAAUAUAAAAUCAGUCAAAACUUUCAACAAUGGAUCUCUUGGUUCCGGCAUCGAUGAAGAACGCAGCGAACUGCGAUAAGUAAUGUGAAUUGCAGAAUUCAGUGAAUCAUCGAGUCUUUGAACGCACAUUGCGCCCCCUGGCAUUCCGGGGGGCAUGCCUGUCCGAGCGUCAUUGCUGCCCAUCAAGCCCGGCUUGUGUGUUGGGUCGUCGUCCCCCCCGGGGGACGGGCCCGAAAGGCAGCGGCGGCACCGUGUCCGGUCCUCGAGCGUAUGGGGCUUUGUCACCCGCUCGAUUAGGGCCGGCCGGGCGCCAGCCGACGUCUCCAACCAUUUUCUUCAGGUUGACCUCGGAUCAGGUAGGGAUACCCGCUGAACUUAAGCAUAUCAAUAAGCGGAGGA
This 567-nucleotide ribosomal RNA is filed under the name Aspergillus versicolor. RNAcentral's name for it is "eukaryotic LSU rRNA". The stretch from base 187 to 340 matches the Rfam family "5.8S ribosomal RNA". RNAcentral also lists the same sequence under 4 other names. The record is from RNAcentral. Lineage: Eukaryota; Fungi; Ascomycota; Eurotiomycetes; Eurotiales; Aspergillaceae.